CCUCCUGGAGGUCUGCGGGAUAGGCUCUGGCUUCCUCUGUUGUCGCCGCAGGGGCGGAAGGGUCCGGUGCAGGCUCGGUGGGUCUGAUGACGUAGCUCCGGGCUCUGCGGCCUCUCAGGUAACCCCUAUGAAAGGGUCAUUCAACUUCCAAAAGGGUCAUGGCCCACAGGCUGAGAAGCACUUCUGUAGAGUGGAGCAAUUAUAAGCAUGCACCCCUAUACCUGACUUAAUGUAUCCUUUUUGAAUAUAACAGUGUAUCUGAAGCCAACAUGUGUUAACUGGAAAGAAGGAAGGUUUACAGCUAAUUCAAUAUCAUCUCAGGAUGGCCAGGAUGUGUAUUGGUGACCUGCUUUGGCCAAGUCUUAAGCUAAUGAAUGCUACUUUACACUAAGCAAGAUGCAUGGAUACCCAGCCGUGCUGUGGACCCAGUGUUGAAGUACACAAGACAGGAUUUCCUGUUGUUUUCUUAGCAUCCCUUUAGAUGGGGUCCCUGGAUUUUUCACCUGUCAUCAGUCACCAAACACCUUUACCUGCUGGGUCAUCUCACCAGUUCCCAAUUCUAUUUUAAAUUCAGGCAGGAUGAAGACUAAAUGCAGAGAUAAGCUCUGGACAUCGUCUUUUGCCAAGAAGAGCCCAUAAGAAACAGCAAGAAUUCUGUAUCAGUGAAGUACACUGGAAUGGGAGGGUCAGACUUCCUCUACCCAGAAAUCCAGGCAGGCCGCCAUGACAGAAUCAGACAAGGGGAUCUAAGUCUCUGUAACCCAGGAACCAAGAGUCAGGCAGCCUUGUUACUAGGUUCCUCUAUUCUCAGUGGCUACUUGCCUGCCCCUUGUCUUGGCACAUAGGGUGGAAAAAAGUCUGCAUACUGGAGCCAGAGAACCAUCAUCAUAGGAAAGAAGUACCAGGGACGGGAGUAUGGGCAGAGGACAGAUGGUCACUGUGAUAGAAUUUCCUGCCUCCUGCUACAUGUUCCUGCAUUAGCUCACCUAUCAGCCCAGUUGAGGGGUGUUUUCUUUUCUUACUUUGUUUUUAUUACAUCUUCUUACUGAGUAGGAGGAGAUUUUCCAAGAUUGCCAGCCAGUCCAAGAUCUUGGUUGUAAAGAGUUAGGAAGCAAGGGUGUGGAGUGGGAGGAGGGAUAAAGAAAAGCCUCCUGGACUGCCAAAGGCAUUUGUCAUCUUGUUUGACACUUUGACACUGUCAUCACAGAGCCUAGGGGAACCUCUGUAAACAAUCUGACAUUUCUAUAGUUUGAAGCAGCUGGAACCUGCCUUACCUGUGAGAUCGCCUCAUCUUGCUAAUGACCAUAAUUGUUGGGUCUCUGACCAGCCAUGACCCAGCCUUGGUAAUGGUGCUAAAAGCAAACCUGGAGCCAGGUAGUCUGCGGUGCCCUCCCUUCCAGUGUACACAUGGCAGCUGGAAGGAUGGCAGACAAGUCAGAGGUUUAGUGGUGUCUUCCUUUCAGUGCUUUUUAGUUUGGGUCAGAGGGAAGACUGCACAUACUGAAGAAGUCUGGUUUGGGGAAAUGCCUGGGGCACAUUAUUGCUUAGCAGUGAGCCCAGAAAAAAAAAUGCUCAUAUUCUUACAAUAUUACAGAAAAACAAACAUACAAAGUACAGGGGAAAAAAAAAAAAACAAUGCUGAGCAUGUUGCUCAGUUGGGAGGAUACUCCCAGCAUUCUCAAAGCCCUAGGUUUGAUCUCCAGGACUUCAAAAACUAGGUAGCACAUUCCUGUAACUCUAGAGCUCAGGAGGCGGAGGUGAUGGAAAGGUCAGGACAAGGUCAUGCUCAGCUCUGCAGCAAGUUUGAGGCCAGCCUGGGACACUCAAGACUCUGUCUCAAAAAGCCCCUAAGAAGAUGUGUUGAUUCUAGGACAUGGCUCUUGGUUCAGCAGUGGGAGGGGUGACAUGACAAAGUGCUUCCUUGACAGAGACAAAAACCAGAUGGGCAAACACUAAUUUAUAAUGAAGUUACAAAGGAAAUAAGUCUUUUAAAUGAUUAAACUGAUCUUGUACUGGGUAUUUCAUCCCUUGGGAAGCAGGAGGAUCAGGAGUUCAAGAACAUUGUCUAUUAUAUAGCCAACUCAAGGCUAGGCUGGGCUAUAGGAGAUCUUUCAAGAGACCAAACAAGCAAACAAACAAACAAAACAACAACAACAAAAAACUGGACAGACAAAAAGUGCUCUUGAGAGUAGAUAUUGAUAACUGGACAAUGCUCAACUUCAUGUUUUCCAUUAGCAACAGUCCUGAAUAUGCUAAAGCUGCCUGGUUACCACAAUGCUAUGUGUGAAAUUCAACCCUGCUAAUAUCCCAGCAAAGAAUAGGUUGGUUGCCAUAGUGACCCCGUGGGUAGUCCUGGCUCUAGAUUUGGCCUAGUGUGGAUUUGGGGAUCCUCCCCCAGGUCGAACAGCAAUUGAAUUAAGGGCUCAUCUGCCAAUCCUGUGGAGAAUGGAUGGGAUGGAUGGAAAGAGAAGUAAAAAGACUAUGGAUAAGAGAGACAGGGGCAGAAAGAAGCAGCAGCAAAAGCCAGAAAGCCACACUUUGAGCUGUCAGGCCAGUGAAGAGCCAAGAAGACAACAGUGUGCUUGGGGUAGUAGUCCUCUCCUCAGUAACAGGGAGACAUAAGGAGAGAGAGGCAAUCAGUGCUGGGGACAGAAGACCACAGCUCCUGUCCUGUGCAGAUGGCUGAUGAUCUGAGCCUCAGCUCUCUGUCCUGAGGUGGGUGGGGUGGAGCAGGGGAUUCGGGACAACCUGCUGCAAGCAGGCUAUCCGCCUUCAGAUAACUGAUUCAGUUCCAGGAUAAUGCUGCUUCUCUUCAGUUACAGACAGCUGGCUUCUCAGAACUGUGGUGAUGCCUUCCCUGCCCUCUUCCUCCUGCCCAAUCACACCAGCUUUGAGUCACCUUCAGGUUUGGUCUGAUACCUUGAGGACGUGGGCUCACAAGUAAAUCCUUGAAAUACCUAGCAUCUACAUUUCUUGUAACAAUAACUCACUAAGUGUUAAACGUUUCUUUGGGAGGCCAGAAGGAGGGCUCAGCAGGUAAAACUGCUUGCUUUGCAAGCCUGAUGAUCUGAAUUCUAUUCUCAGAACUCACACAAAGGUGGAAGGAGAGAACUAACUCCCACAGUUCCUACUGUCACCUCCGUGUGUGCACUGCUAUGCACCUAUGUUUACACUUGUAGACACACACAAUCACAGUAAAUACAGUUUCUGAUUCAUUACAAUCAUUCUUAGCAUAUAAAACAAUAUACCUAAUAUAUAAAUCUUAAUAUAAAAUGCAUUUAUAUUGGAAAUACAUCUCUGAGUGAGAUCAGUGGAACAUUAAAAGUUAUUUUUUAAUUUAAUUUUUUAAAUUAAUUACACUUUAUUCACUUGGUGUCCCCCCAUAAGCCCCUCCCUCCACCCCUCCCCAUCCCACCCUCCUACCCCCUUUUUCACGCAUGCCCCUCCCCAAGUCCACUGAUAAGGGAGGUCCUCCUCUCCUUCCUUCUGAUCUUAGUCUAUCAGAUCACCUCAGGAGUGGCUGCAUUGUCAUCUUCUAUGGCCUGGUAAGGCUGCUCCCCCAUCAGGGGGAGGUGAUCAAAGAGCAGGCCAAUCAGAUUAUGUUAGAGGCAGUUCCUCUUCCCAUUGCUAUGUAACCCACUUGGACACUGAACUGUCAUGGGCUACAUCUGUGCAGGGGUACAUUAAAAGUUAUUAUUUCAUUUACUUAUAUGUCCAUGGGUGAAGCUUUUAUUUUUAUUUUUUUGGCUAGGGUUCAGCAUCAAUUCUCAUUUUAUGUUUUUUUUAUGAUAAGCAAUGAGAAUUUUUUUCAAAAACUAAGGAAACGGGGAAUAUAAGUUUUGCUAUGCAAGUCAUUCAAUUGAUCUGCCAAACAGACAAAACAAAGCUCUGAAAACCUUCGCCUGUGACAAAAUUGCUUUUGAUAAUUAUCAGCUGAUUAUUUGACUGGUUCCUAGUGACAUCCCCAGUGUCUGCUCUAACACUGAGCUGCUUUUGCUUUGGCACUCAGAAGCUUUCCUGCCACCAAGGGAAGACGUUGAGAUACAGGGACGUGUGGAUUAGGACACGGGAAAAGACAACUACCCACUCAGCGAUUCACACGUUGGCUCAUUCACUGGCAAGUCACAUUUAGAAAAGAUACAAGAUACUUGGGGACCCUCCAGAGCUCAGUGGAGGUCGCUUUGGAAAGUCUUAGGACCCUUGCAAACAUAGAUUACAUCUGCACCUGGCUUUAAUUCCAACCUCCUUGGCCCUUCUUCACCGUAUUGCAGGGUCUACUUCUAGAAGCCGCAAGUUUCUCCCGUUCUCGUGCCACUGGCUACCGCGGGCAGAUUCCUUUCUUCUUCGUUUCCCAUUCUCCUUCCCUCUUUUCAUUUCUCCCACUCCCAUCCUCGCUCCCUGAGUCCCUCUUCCAUUUCUUUCUUUCUUCUUUCUCUUCUUUCUUUCCACUUAAAAAUAAAAAUUCCAAUAGGAAUAGAUAUUUUAUUAAAAACAAACAAACGAACGAAUUUGGAAACGUGCCAGAGGUGAACGGGCCGAGGUCAGGUAGUUAGAUGUGGCUAGCGUCGACCCCACUCGCUCACAGGCUGGGGUACACUGGGUGUGGCUGAAUGACAUUCAGGGACCCGCCCCUGCCCAUCUUCCAUGCCACAUUCUGCUCAACUUGAAACAGGGAGUUUUGCCCAGCUUCUGUUUGCUUUCCUCCCUCAUCCGUAUGCCUGGAACAUUCAUUUAUCUGUACCCGCUUCCAGCCUGGUACACUCCUACACAUGCUGAAGCGUCAGCUCCCUGUAAUCUCGUCGGGGAGGCUUUCCAACUCGCCUGGUGUUCCUGGCUAUCAGCUAACUUGGCAAGCGCAGAUAGGAUUUUCAGGCAUUUCCCUGUCUCCUUCACUAGAGGGAGUAACUCAAGGGCUGUGCCUUCCCUCCCCAAACUCCAGUGAAAGCUCUUUAUGAUUCGGCGGGCUAUGUUGAGGAUACAGCCCUCUGACUUGCAGGUGUUUCAGGAACAGAGUUGUGAGAAGUUUCUGGAUUCUUGUUCCCAGCUAAGCAUUCGGUGUCGGGGACGGAAGCACUUCCCAGCUCGAUAUUCAAGAAUUUAUACUGAAAUGUUCCAGAGGCCCCAUCUUCAAAGGAUCCGCUCUUCUAGUGCAGUCUCACUCAAGAACACGAGAUGGCGCUCGUGGAGGGCUGGAAGGCCCUAGACACUCUCUCCCUCUCUCCCUCUCUCCCUCUCUCUCUCCUCUCUCUUUCUCCUGGUUAGCCUAUAUGUAUGUAAUUUGAGAUAAGGAACUCAAUUCAUUCUGACACCUUCCCUUCCCUCUCCCUAAACUCACUUUCUGUCCUUUUCCUGGGUCAAAGAAAAGCUGAGCUAUUCAAAUCUAAAGGGUUAUUCUUGUUUAGAAGCUAAAACCAAACUCUGGGUUGUGAAGUUAAGCACGGCAUGGAUUACUAUGCUGGGAGAGAAUUUGGAGCUGCCACACACCUGAGAACAGGCUACUGCAUUGGGGAUAGUUCGGGUCACCCACUCCACAUUUCUGGACUUCUGCUCAGGGCACCUAGGAGCUACAUGGGAUCCGUAAUCCUCUUCUGGCCUCCUGGAGUACCCAUAUUACAUAUGACACAUGCACAUACACAUAAAUUGAGAGAGAGAGAGAGGAGAGGGGGAGGAGAGGUGUUUAUUAAGUAGUGAACAGACUUUAAAGUCAGCUUUGUUCAAAUUAAAUGAACAUCUUCGUUUGAUUUUUUAAAUCUGCCUAGUAGUGACCUCCUUACCUUGAGGCCCGAUUAAGCCAGCUGUGGAGCUUCUCUGGUGUAGUCAAGACUGAUGUCAGCAAAGUUGCAAACAGUCAUCACCAGCCAGACUGCCUGCAAAGCUGAAGGAACUGCCUGCCACACUCAUUCCCAGAGGUGCACAAAAACACAGCCUCACUUUCCAUGCUGGAUUGGUUUCCAGGUAGUUUCAAAGAUGCCAGUAAAGCAAAUUUUCUGUAUUAAACUCUCAGAUCGAGGUCUACCUCUUAACAUGUGUAAGGUAAACCCUUCUCUUUGUCUCUCUCUUUCUCCUUCUGAGUUGUCAGCAGAGUUACAGAUAGUCUCCAUGACAGAGAGAGAUGGGGAGAGAGAGAGAUUGAGUGAGUUUAUGUAGUGCUGGGCAUCAAACCCAGGGAUUCCUGCAUACCAAAUACUUCUUCCCAACACAACACACAGGCCACUUGUAAACAUAGGCCACGUCAGAAGCUCAAUGGGUAUAAUCCAAUUUGCUUUUCAUACCUAAGGUUUGAUUGUAGGUGUUCAGUCAUUAGUAAGGUAGAGUCUUAAUAGAACCCUUAUGUAUCCCUGUAAUGUCAAUGGCAAAUAUAAUCUCAGGCAGAAAUCUUUAUCCCUUAAUACAGAAUGUUAGUCCAAAACUUUAGAGGAGAUCUUUCUCUAUGUGAUAGAGAGGCAGAGAGAAAGAAACAGACAGGAAAACUCAUGAAAGUGUGUUUUCAGUUACUUUCAAUAAAAAAGACAUUUGUUUUGUGUAUCUAUAUAAGUGGGUACAUGUGUGCUGCAGUGCAUGUGUGGAGGCCAGAAAGCAGUUUCAGGAACUAGGUCUGUCUUCUCUAACGUGGGCCCAUCUGGGGAUUAACAUCAGACCACCAGUCCCAUUGCAAGCUUCCGUACCUGCUGAGCCAUCUCACUGGCACCCAUCUUCAGUAACUUAAAAAUGAUGAAAGAGUUAUUUAUGGAACUAGAUACUCUAUCUCCUUGCCGUUUCCUUCUUCCUUCUUUUUCAAAAGGUUAGUCUUCUCCAGUGAAACGUCCUUCAGAAAUUCAAAUGGGCAUGAUCUCAUAAUUCAAUUACUAGAUAACUGCUCAAAGGAAUCAAAAGCUGCACAUCAAACAGUUCAGGAUGGAUGUGUGGGCUCACACUUAACCGUGAAAGCAUGGGCAGAGAUGUACCCAGUGAUUGCAGGAGCAUUAGUCAUAACAGCCCUAAUGCAGAGCCCAAGCAUACAUGAGGAGACAGGUGGGUGACAGAAUGCAAUGUGAACCUGUACCAGGACACAGUCAGCCUUGAAAUGACACGCCACAAUAUGCAUAAUCCUGACGAACAUUAUGUUAGGUGAAAUACGCCAGACAAAGAGGCAAGUAUUUUAUCCCUCAUGUAUAGAAAGUACCUAAAAUAGCGGAAUCCAGAAAUAUAAAGCAAAAGCAUUGUUACAGGGGUCCAGAGUAGUAAGGGUGUGGAUUUUUGUUUAGUGGGCGCAGAAUUUCAGUCUAGCAUGAUAGCACAUUCUGGAAAGAGAUGCUGGUGGUUGCUGUACAACAGUGUGCAUACUUAAUGUUAUGGGAUCACACAAAAAAUGACUGAAGUGGUUUUUGCUCUAGUGCUGGGGCAGGGCAAUCAAAGCUGGGCAUGAAAGGCAGGGACACUAUCCCUGAACCAUACUGCUAACACCCCAAAACGAUACAUUUUGUAUUUUCUAUAUUUUGCCACAAAGGUCAAAUAGCCCUUCUACUUGAAAACCUUUGCUGACACCUGUCCUAGCACGUUUGUUUGUCACGUAACACUUCAAAGUGUGAACCAUGCCACUAACCUCAAGGCAAGCCUCUGUUAGAGACUUUUUCUGAGCCUGAAGUGCAUAUUAUCUUGUUUACUUUUCACUCCUUAAGUUUGCAUGGCGGGUGUUCAAAUAUUAGUCAGGCAGAGUCUCAAUGGAAACCUCACUUCUGCCAGUAGAUGUAUAACCUUACAAUCAGUUGUUCUAUGAGUUUUGACCAGUUGUGGCUUUCUGUAGUAGCUUCCGUCUGCUGAGAAAAGAAGCUCCUUUGACAAGGGGUGAGAGCUAUACUUAUUUAGGUCUCCACCAUGUGUGGUUGGCUACAUUUCCCCAGUUGCAAGCCAGGGAGGAAACAAAACUCCUGAGGGAGGAACAAUCAAAUAUAACUAGAGUGUUGGAUCCUGGAUGCUGAGUUGUGAAUUUUAUCCCCAAAACAAGUCCUAUGUCUAGAAUAAAGGGAAAGUGCAGGGAAGACAAACAAACUGUAGAUACAAACACAAUAGCCAGACAGGGAAGAACUAUUCUUUAUUUACCAAGGGAGGGACUUCCUCAGUGGCUAGCAUAAAAAUUGGUGUUAUUUAACAAAUAUUCAUCCCUCUUUGCCUAGUUUGAUCCUGUGACUGCUUCAGGCGAGGAAGAUUCAGUUAGAGACGUGAGAAAGUUUCUCAGGAUGGGAUUCAGUUAGAGACGUGAGAAAGUUUCUGUCAUUGGGCUUUUGAUCUUCUGUCUUUGAUGUGUGCGUAAAUGAAACAUGUCCUUAGCAGGAUGCUAGCGCCAUAGGAAUGAGGGGCACGUGGAACAUAGCAAGGCAAGCUGACCCACGGCUCUGGAACUAGAAGCAAUACGGUUCCACUUGAUCUGCAAACUGGUAGGUGUGACAGUGAACCGUUGCUAUCCCGUGCUGGGUUCUGAGGAAGUCACCAGGCAGCAUCAUUGUAGUCGCUAUAGUUUGUAUGUACAAUGUCCCCAACAAGCCAUGCAUCUGAACACCCAGUCCAUAGCUUGUGGAACUGUUUUGGGGAGUUGUUGAACCUUUGGGAGGAAGGGCCUAGCUGGGGAAGUUGCAUCUCCAGGGGCCGUGAAGAUGGUAGAAUAUCUUCACUUCUUAUGUGUUCUUUGUUUCCUGAUCCUCUGAGAUAUGAGCAAGAAUCUGUCUCAUGUUCCUGUCACCAUGGAGUUUUUCUGAUGCCAUGCUUUCCUCCCCUCAAUGGGCCAUUCCUUUUGAAACAAUGAUCAAAAAGAAGCCUCUUCUGCAACUUGUUUCUUGUUAGUAUUUAUAAACACAGCAUCUAAAUACCCACAUUCAUGAAAAAAAAAUCUGUAUGUGAACAGAUAAGAACCCAAAUCUGUGGAUAAUCUAAAUCUCAUCAAAGGGAGAAUGAAUACAUAAACUAUGGAAAAACUAUAUACUAAGAGAUAACACUCAGUUAUAAAGACAAACAGAUAUAAACAGAGGCAUGAAUGGAUCUCAAAAUCUAUGCUAAGUUAAAGUGAGGCAGAAGAGAUUAGGUUAUUCAUGUAUGUUGAAUUCUAGUAUAGGAAUAAUAUAUAUCAUCCUUUGAAGAUCAAUAAUUGAUUAUGGCCAAAGGAUAGAAAAGGUUGACUAUAAAGAGGUACAAGAGAACAUUUUGAGUGGUGGAAAUAAUUUGUAUUUUGGUAAGGAUGUUUAAAUAUGUGUUUGAUUUUGUCAAAACUGAAGUGUAACCUUCGUUGGAUUUUAGCUUUGGAAAUUGUAUCCCAAUAAUAUAAAUUAAAACGUUGUUAUUCCUGAUUUUAGUUUCCCCAGUUUUGGGGUUUGGAUGUGAAAUGUCUCCCACAGGCUUGUGGUUUUGAAA
Molecule: long non-coding RNA, 9381 nt
Organism: Meriones unguiculatus (Mongolian gerbil)
Lineage: Eukaryota; Metazoa; Chordata; Mammalia; Rodentia; Muridae
Exons: 4
Source: RefSeq, a predicted model, not a curated record